GAGAAGUAUUUCAUCAUUACGAAAAAAUUUAUUAUAGGUUAUCAACAAAAUAAAAUUUAUAAAUAAUCGCUAGUUGCAAUUCCAAUAUGUUUCGAUUACCAUUUGGCGAAAGAGUUGAUCCUUUAGAGGAAAAACGUCAAGCAAGAGAAAAUACUAUUAACAGCUUUCUCACAUUUUGUGUGCUUUGUGCGGCUAUUAGAAUUGCUCCAGUGAUCAUAGAGCACAGUGGAUUUUAACUUGAAUAGAUGGAUUUUACUAGUUCUAAUAAAGUCAUGAUUUUGUUUCAUAGUUGAACCAGAUUAGUAAGAGUGCACAAAUCACAGAAUGUAAUUGAUACUUUUAUGUUUCUGUGUAACAGUAAUAAGCAUAAAAUGAUUAUAUAAAUAUAUUAUUUCAACAGUA
Molecule: long non-coding RNA, 402 nt
Organism: Vanessa tameamea
Lineage: Eukaryota; Metazoa; Arthropoda; Insecta; Lepidoptera; Nymphalidae
Exons: 2
Source: RefSeq, a predicted model, not a curated record